This is a small nuclear RNA of Suricata suricatta (meerkat), 110 nucleotides long. Lineage: Eukaryota; Metazoa; Chordata; Mammalia; Carnivora; Herpestidae. The record is from Ensembl.
GUGCUUGCUUCAGCAGCACGUAUACUAAAAUUGAAAUGAUACAGAGAAAAUUAACACGGCCCCUGUGCAAGAACAAUUACACCAAUAUCCAUUAUAUUAGUAAAAUAAUU